Molecule: microRNA precursor, 177 nt
Filed under: Capsella rubella
Lineage: Eukaryota; Viridiplantae; Streptophyta; Magnoliopsida; Brassicales; Brassicaceae
Source: RNAcentral
ACAUGGCGAAAAAAAGUCAAGGAUGACUUGCCUGAUCUUUUUCACUUCUAUGAUUCAAUUUGAAGUUCUUGCGUUUUGGGUUAUUAUGCAUUUAAAAGGUAUAAUAAUUUGAAAAUCAUGAAUGUUGAAUCUUCCGGUUAGGUUUCAGGCAGUCUCUUUGGCUAUCUUGACAUGCUU